RNAcentral lists this ribosomal RNA (206 nucleotides) under uncultured bacterium. RNAcentral describes it as "partial 16S ribosomal RNA". It matches the Rfam family "Bacterial small subunit ribosomal RNA", at positions 568 to 774 of the family's 1533-position model. The record is from RNAcentral.
UUCGUAGGCGGCGCGGAAAGUAGGGUGUGAAAGCCCUCGGCUCAACCGAGGAAUUGCGCCCUAAACUGUCGCGCUCGAGGAAGCUAGAGGUGAGCGGAACUGAUGGUGGAGCGGUGAAAUGCGUUGAUAUCAUCAGGAACACCGGAGGCGAAGGCGGCUCACUGGGGCUUAUCUGACGCUGAGGAACGAAAGCCAGGGAGCAAACG